Pseudopipra pipra is the source of this 1859-nucleotide long non-coding RNA. RefSeq lists it as uncharacterized. The record is from RefSeq and is a predicted model, not a curated record. Lineage: Eukaryota; Metazoa; Chordata; Aves; Passeriformes; Pipridae. The transcript is spliced from 2 exons.
CCCAGCUCUGGGGGGUGAGGAACAAGCCCAGAGACCACCGGCAGUCCCUCCCCUUCCACAGCCCACAUCCACAUCCUGGCCAUGCUGCACACAAAGCCUGAGGAGCUGCAGCUGAGUCCCAAGGGGACAUCUGGUGACAUUACCAAGCCAGGGUGACAGCCCUGUCUCCCCAGGGAGGCCAAACGAGCAAAGGGAUGCACCAGAGGUCACGCACGGCUGAUGUUGGGCUUCCUCCACAACUGCCAGUCCGCAUUUCCACACCACAACCCACACGCUGGCUUCACAAGGUGGAGACCAGCAUUUCCACCAUGCAGCCGACGGGUAGGACAAACAAGGGGAAGGCAUCAACGGAGUGAGCUCUGCAACCUCCUCACCUCCUCCCUGUCCCCUCCGAGUCGUGCUUGCUCCCCUCUCAUGGUGAGGAGUCGCCGCAGCCCUUCCCAAGCACAGCAGCUGGGGAAGGCAGCACGCAGGAGCACGAGCCUGGAAAUGGAAUUCCUAAAUGUUUGGUACAGCUCUGCUGGCAGAUGAUGGCGGCAACAUGCAGAUUGUGUGCGGUGGGGGAUGUUUCUCCAGGAUCUACAAGCAGGGAAAGGGUAACUCACAAAAUCAUGAUUAUGUAAAAGCGCAGAGCUGGCUAUAAUCGAGAUUUCAAAGACAAGAAACACUCUGCACCCAGAGCUGCCACUGCACAUCCUCCCAGAACAGCAGCAUCGCAACGACUGCAACGACCGAGCGCCUUCCUCCUUCUUGCCUGCCAUGGAAGUCGCACCUAUUAACGUGCUGCUUAUUUGGGUGUGAGAUGGCUCCAUGUCAUCCGAGGCGCAGCCCGCGCUGCCAUGUCAGAAUUCCUGCCACAAAGACAGGCUUCCAGCUUCAUUCUUGCCCUCGGCUCACCAGCUGCUCCAAAGGAGGACGGAGCACUGCCCGUCCAUCCCUCCAGCUCAGGAUCACAAGGGCAGAGACCCCAGCACCCCAACACCAAGGCACCCAGUGCCACGGCCACCCCAAGACGUGCCUACAGCUCCCAGGCAGCGCCCGGCUCUGGGAAGGGCUGGCCCACAGCACAUCCCUGGCACUCGCCCCUUGUGCGAGGCACAGCCCGUUCCUCCAGAGAACAAACACCCAGGGACACCAGGGUUGCCUGCAUCCACUUCCCACCCAAAGGCAGGAGCAGCCCAGAGCCCGUGCCAGGCACAGAGACAAACGAGCGCUGUGCCACACUGGGGGGCCGAGAUGGGGGAGAUCAGAAAGCGCGAGCUUGCACCGUUCGCUGCGCCCAACACGGGAACGUCAUGUAAAUAUAAUGCCAAUAUAAAUCAGGCGGCAGAGCCAUCCAGCAACAUCACGCAGGGAGACGCUUCCCCAGCUCCAAGCCUCUCAUUUUGACCAGUGUGCUCUUCAUCAUGCCACUCGCCUCCCCUCUGCCUGGCUGCUCUCCCUCACACUGCCAGACCAUCUUGCUGCUCAACUCCCCGCUUGCCAACCACCUAUUUCUGUUUGUUUUUCAAGUGGGGGGAGAAAUAAUCAGCUACAGCCCAUCGAGGGAUUUCUAAACUUCAGGGGUCCCUUGGAUCGAAUGUUUAUCUGCUUUCAGUUUCUACUUGAGCUCUUGUUCUACAGCAGGAGCACGUUAAAAGGAUGUGCUUCGAUGCCCAGAAAUAUUAAGUAUCUGAAAGGUUUAUCAUGCAUUAAGCAAUUCAUUUUUUUAUCCUAUUAUUCUAAUGAAACUUCCAUUGUAUUGCUGUCCUCUCUUUGGAACCGCUUCAUGUUAACACUUUGCAUCACCAGGACUGUUCAACACUGAAGAUCUCUCUUUUUUUUUUUUUUUUUAAGAAAUAAAAUGUAAAAUGAGGCCA